AGAUUGAACGCUGGCGGCAGGCCUAACACAUGCAAGUCGAGCGGCAGCACGGGUACUUGUAUCUGGUGGCGAGCGGCGGACGGGUGAGUAAUGCCUAGGAAUCUGCCUGGUAGUGGGGGAUAACGCUCGGAAACGGACGCUAAUACCGCAUACGUCCUAUGGGAGAAAGCAGGGGACCUUCGGGCCUUGCGCUAUCAGAUGAGCCUAGGUCGGAUUAGCUAGUUGGUGGGGUAAUGGCUCACCAAGGCGACGAUCCGUAACUGGUCUGAGAGGAUGAUCAGUCACACUGGAACUGAGACACGGUCCAGACUCCUACGGGAGGCAGCAGUGGGGAAUAUUGGACAAUGGGCGAAAGCCUGAUCCAGCCAUGCCGCGUGUGUGAAGAAGGUCUUCGGAUUGUAAAGCACUUUAAGUUGGAGGAAGGCAGUUACCUAAUACGUAUCUGUUUGACGUUACGACAGAAUAAGCACCGGCUAACUCUGUCG
Molecule: ribosomal RNA, 485 nt
Filed under: uncultured soil bacterium
Lineage: Bacteria
Description: bacterial SSU rRNA
Rfam family: Bacterial small subunit ribosomal RNA
Source: RNAcentral